RNAcentral lists this ribosomal RNA (468 nucleotides) under uncultured bacterium. RNAcentral describes it as "partial 16S ribosomal RNA". It matches the Rfam family "Bacterial small subunit ribosomal RNA", at positions 28 to 507 of the family's 1533-position model. The record is from RNAcentral.
GACGAACGCUGGCGGCGUGCUUAACACAUGCAAGUCGAACGGAAAGGCCCUGCUUUUGUGGGGUGCUCGAGUGGCGAACGGGUGAGUAACACGUGAGUACCCUGCCCUUGCCUUUGGGAUAACUUCAGGCAACUGGGGCUAAUACCGGCUAGGAGCUCCUGCUGCAUGGUGGGGGUUGGAAAGUUUCGGCGGUUGGGGUUGGACUCGCGGCUUAUCAGCUUGUUGGUGGGGUAGUGGCUUACCAAGGCUUUGACGGGUAGCCGGGCUGAGAGGGUGACCGGCCACAUUGGGACGGAGAUACGGCACAGACUCCUACGGGAGGCAGCAGUGGAGAAGAUUGCACAAUGGGCGGAAGCCUGAUGCAGCAACGCCGCGUGCGGGAUGACGGCCUGCGGGUUGUAAACCGCUUUCGCCUGUGACGAGGCGUGAGUGACGGUAAUGGGUAAAGAAGCACCGGCUAACUACGUG